RNAcentral lists this ribosomal RNA (433 nucleotides) under uncultured bacterium. RNAcentral's name for it is "partial 16S ribosomal RNA". It matches the Rfam family "Bacterial small subunit ribosomal RNA", at positions 29 to 507 of the family's 1533-position model. The record is from RNAcentral.
AACGAACGCUGGCGGCAUGCCUAACACAUGCAAGUCGGACGAGACCUUCAGAAAUCGUGGCGCACGGGUGCGUCACGCGUAGACACCUGCCCAUAACUUCGGAAUAACUACCCAACAGGGCAGCUAAUACCGGCUCAUGUCUUGGUCCCAAAGAUUUAUCUCCUUUGGAUGGGCCCGCGUUGGAUUAGCUAGUUGGUAGGGUAAAAGCCUACCAAGGCGACGAUCCAUAGCUGGUCUGAGAGGAUGAUCAGCCACACUGGGACUGAGACACGGCCCAGCACACUACGGGAGGCAGCAGUGGGGAAUAUUGGACAAUGGGCGAAACACUGAUCCUCCCAGGCCGCGUGAGUGAUGAAGGCCUUAGGGUUCCUCUCCUCUUUUACCCGGGAUGAUAAUGACAGUACCGGGAGAAUAAGCUCCGGCUAACUCCGUG